This 253-nucleotide ribosomal RNA is filed under the name uncultured bacterium. RNAcentral describes it as "partial 16S ribosomal RNA". It matches the Rfam family "Bacterial small subunit ribosomal RNA", at positions 524 to 776 of the family's 1533-position model. The record is from RNAcentral.
UAUGAGUGCUCCAAGCGUUAUCCGGAAUUAUUGGGCGUAAAGGGUGUGUAGGUGGUUCUAUUAGUCAGAUGUUAAAACUUCCUGCUUAACAGGAAAAAGGCAUUUGAAACGGUAGAACUAGAGGAUGCGAGGGGUCUGUAGAACUCAUGGUGUAGGGGUGAAAUCCGUUGAUAUCAUGGGGAAUACCAAAAGCGAAGGCAGCUGACUGGCGCAUUUCUGACACUGAAACACGAAAGCGUGGGUAGCGAAUGGG